AGUGGCCGUCAAAUAGAGUUUUUCUUCGGAACAUCGGUGACAGGUGGUGCAUGGUUGUCGUCAGCUCGUGUCGUGAGAUGUUGGGUUAAGUCCCGCAACGAGCGCAACCCUUAUUGUUAGUUGCCAUCAUUGAGUUGGGCACUCUAGCGAGACUGCCGGUAAUAAACCGGAGGAAGGUGGGGAUGACGUCAAAUCAUCAUGCCCCUUAUGACCUGGGCUACACACGUGCUACAAUGGCUGGUACAACGAGUCGCAAGUCGGUGACGGCAAGCUAAUCUCUUAAAGCCAGUCUCAGUUCGGAUUGUAGGCUGCAACUCGCCUACAUGAAGUCGGAAUCGCUAGUAAUCGCGGAUCAGCACGCCGCGGUGAAUACGUUCCCGGGUCUUGUACACACCGA
This 397-nucleotide ribosomal RNA is filed under the name uncultured bacterium. RNAcentral's name for it is "bacterial SSU rRNA". It matches the Rfam family "Bacterial small subunit ribosomal RNA", at positions 992 to 1393 of the family's 1533-position model. The record is from RNAcentral.